UGGGGAAUAUUGCACAAUGGGCGCAAGCCUGAUGCAGCCAUGCCGCGUGUGUGAAGAAGGGCUUCGGGUUGUAAAGCACUUUCAGCGGGGAGGAAGGCGGUGAGGUUAAUAACCUCAUCGAUUGACGUUACCCGCAGAAGAAGCACCGGCUAACUCCGUGCCAGCAGCCGCGGUAAUACGGAGGGUGCAAGCGUUAAUCGGAAUUACUGGGCGUAAAGCGCACGCAGGCGNUCUGUCAAGUCGGAUGUGAAAUCCCCGGGCUCAACCCUGGGAACUGCAUUCGAAACUGGCAGGCUAGAGUCUUGUAGAGGGGGGGUAGAAUUCCAGGUGUAGCGGNUGAAAUGCGUAGAGAUCUGGAGGAAUACCGGNUGGCGAAGGCGGCCCCCCUGGGACAAAAGACUGACGCUCAGGUGCGAAAAGCGUGGGGGAGCAAAACAGGGAUUUAGAUACCCCUGGGUAGUCCACGCCGUAAACGAUGUCGAUUUGGAGGUUGUGCCCUUGAGGCGUGGCUUCCGGANCUAACGCGUUAAAUCGACCGCCUGGGGAGUACGGCCGCAAGGUUA
This 563-nucleotide ribosomal RNA is filed under the name uncultured bacterium. RNAcentral describes it as "bacterial SSU rRNA". It matches the Rfam family "Bacterial small subunit ribosomal RNA", at positions 355 to 896 of the family's 1533-position model. The record is from RNAcentral.